GACGAACGCUGGCGGCGUGCCUAACACAUGCAAGUCGAACGAGAAUCUUUGGAAUGAUUCUUUCGGGAUGAAUUCCAAAGAGGAAAGUGGCGGACGGGCGAGUAACGCGUGAGUAACCUGCCCAUAAGAGGGGGAUAAUCCAUGGAAACGUGGACUAAUACCGCAUAUUGUAGUUAAGUUGCAUGACUUGAUUAUGAAAGAUUUAUCGCUUAUGGAUGGACUCGCGUCAGAUUAGAUAGUUGGUGAGGUAACGGCUCACCAAGUCAACGAUCUGUAGCCGAACUGAGAGGUUGAUCGGCCGCAUUGGGACUGAGACACGGCCCAGACUCCUACGGGAGGCAGCAGUGGGGAAUAUUGCGCAAUGGGGGCAACCCUGACGCAGCAACGCCGCGUGCAGGAAGAAGGUCUUCGGAUUGUAAACUGUUGUCGCAAGGGAAGAAGACAGUGACGGUACCUGGAGA
This 461-nucleotide ribosomal RNA is filed under the name uncultured bacterium. RNAcentral's name for it is "bacterial SSU rRNA". It matches the Rfam family "Bacterial small subunit ribosomal RNA", at positions 28 to 485 of the family's 1533-position model. The record is from RNAcentral.